GGAUGGCUCAGUGGUUAAGAGUACUGGUUGCUCUUCCAGAGGACCUGGGUUUGAUUCCCAGCACCCA
Molecule: non-coding RNA, 67 nt
Organism: Mesocricetus auratus (golden hamster)
Lineage: Eukaryota; Metazoa; Chordata; Mammalia; Rodentia; Cricetidae
Source: Rfam